UACGUAGGGGCUAGCGUUAUCCGGAAUUACUGGGCGUAAAGGGUGCGUAGGCGGUCUUUCAAGCCAGAAGUGAAAGACAGCGGCUUAACCGUUGUAAGCAUUUGAAACUGCAGGGCUUGAGUACAGGAGAGGAAAGCGGAAUUCCUAGUGUAGCGGUGAAAUGCGUAGAUAUUAGGAGGAACACCAGUGGCGAAGGCGGCUUUCUGGACUGAUACUGACGCUGAGGAACGAAAGCGUGGGGAGCAAACAGGAUUAGAUACCCCGGUAGUCCCUGAGCGGG
This 280-nucleotide ribosomal RNA is filed under the name uncultured prokaryote. Its description in RNAcentral is "partial 16S ribosomal RNA". It matches the Rfam family "Bacterial small subunit ribosomal RNA", at positions 524 to 803 of the family's 1533-position model. The record is from RNAcentral.